AAAGAUGUGCACAAAUUAUUGUUGCAAAAGGAAACAUACUUUAUUCAAAAGUUCAACUAUUCCCUUUGGACUAAAUGCGGCUCUUGAUUUCACUCCUUUUCUAUGAUACUUUAGUAUGUUUUGAUAUCUUACCAGUGUUAAAUUCUGUAUUGGUGCCCUUAAGUGCAACUCAGAUUAUCACCUGACUAUAUAUAAGGCUGAGGCUAUGUAUCUUUCCCUUUGAGAACUGCUAAUGCCACUGUAAGAAAUUGACUUACUGCAUGUAAAUUACCUCUGAGCAUUGGUUCCAGAUUAUUGAAGUAUAUUGAUCAGAAGAAGUUAUUAAUGGAAACAUGAAAUUUUACCUGGGAAUCGUGUUAUCAAUAGUACUUCUUUUCAAUAUCUGAAUUCUUUCUACAGAACAUUCAUAGCAUCAUUGAAUAUCCUAUCUAUUUUUGCGAGGAGAAGUCUGCAUGUCAACAAAAAACUACUUUUGCGUAGUGCAUCCGUAUGGACUCCUAUGUGAUGGACUUUUCUACCUCAGACUGAAUUCUUUAUUGUUGUUUUGUUUAUAUAAGUAUAUUUGUUUUGUGAAUGGCUUUAAGUGCUCUAUUGAAAGAGUGCUUUAGUUCUCUAAGUAAUUUUCAUUUCAUAAAUAAGAUUAGUGAAUUUGAAA
Heteronotia binoei (common prickly gecko) is the source of this 655-nucleotide long non-coding RNA. RefSeq lists it as uncharacterized. The transcript has 2 exons. The record is from RefSeq and is a predicted model, not a curated record. NCBI's taxonomy places the organism in Eukaryota, Metazoa, Chordata, Lepidosauria, Squamata, Gekkonidae.